Heterocephalus glaber (naked mole-rat) is the source of this 1054-nucleotide long non-coding RNA. Lineage: Eukaryota; Metazoa; Chordata; Mammalia; Rodentia; Bathyergidae. The record is from Ensembl.
AGGCCAUCAGGAAGGAGGGUAUGGAAACACAGGCUGUGGUGGGUGGGAAGCAGGGGAGGAGGAGCAGGCUGAUGCCUGCUGAGAACCUUCCAGGUGCCAGGCAUAUAUUAGAUACUUCACAGAUGUCAUCACUUAAUUCUCACACCUACCCCAUGAGGUGAGAGUGAUUCUUAUUUCACAAACCUGGUGCAGGCUGGUGAAGUGACUUGUCCAGACCUCCUAAGCCAGAGAAUAGAAGCCACAUGUGUAUGCAGGUGUGCUGUAUCCAGACUUCCUGCUAUGUCCACCUUGCCUCCCGUUCAGGAUGUGGUGCUCACUCAAAGCCCUUGGAAGAAGAAAAAACCCUACAUCGCCUGGAACAGUACCCCUGGGAACCACAGCUGAGCUCCAGAGGACUGAAGCACCUGGCUUGCAAGGACAGCUGAGACGAAACUCACAAGGAGGAUCAGUUGCAGGUGGUGAACCACAACCUCUCAAGGUAGUUGGAGAGACCAUAAUCCCCAGUAGGUAAGGCCUACAUGUUCUUUCAGCUAGACGUAGCUAUAUGAAGACAAUAUCCUAUAAAGAAUUAUGGGGAUUUAUGUUGCAGGCCAGAAAUAAGGCAGGAGAUUAGCACUGGCCAGCUGGCUAGGCAAGUAGGCAUGACUUGUCAAUCACAGAGAUCCAAGACACAUGGCCAGAAAAACAAUGCCCAAACCUUGCUCCCCUGGGACCAAUCCAAACAUGCUGAUUUUAAUUCUUCUGGCACAAAAUCAAGCAGGUUUUUGUCACGACAGCCUAGAUCUGACUUCAGAAUGAGAACUAUGAAAGAUAUUGGCCAUUAAUCUUGUGGCUCCUAUGCUCUCUUUCCAAGUGGUUUGCUCUCACUCUGCAGUGUGUACUUCUUUUCCUACCUUUAAUAUAAGUAAAACUUACUACCUUUUGCACUUGUCUUGUCCAAUUCUUUGAUCAGGACAAGAACCUGGAAAUUAUCUCUAGAAGGAGCCCACAGCACCCCAGAACCCAAGCAACAAGAAUAUGAUCACAAGUAUAACACGGUCAAAGCCAAAGGGAG